RNAcentral lists this ribosomal RNA (1969 nucleotides) under Escherichia coli. RNAcentral's name for it is "partial 23S ribosomal RNA". It matches the Rfam family "Bacterial large subunit ribosomal RNA", at positions 697 to 2649 of the family's 2925-position model. Lineage: Bacteria; Pseudomonadati; Pseudomonadota; Gammaproteobacteria; Enterobacterales; Enterobacteriaceae. The record is from RNAcentral.
AAGUUGCAGGGUAUAGACCCGAAACCCGGUGAUCUAGCCAUGGGCAGGUUGAAGGUUGGGUAACACUAACUGGAGGACCGAACCGACUAAUGUUGAAAAAUUAGCGGAUGACUUGUGGCUGGGGGUGAAAGGCCAAUCAAACCGGGAGAUAGCUGGUUCUCCCCGAAAGCUAUUUAGGUAGCGCCUCGUGAAUUCAUCUCCGGGGGUAGAGCACUGUUUCGGCAAGGGGGUCAUCCCGACUUACCAACCCGAUGCAAACUGCGAAUACCGGAGAAUGUUAUCACGGGAGACACACGGCGGGUGCUAACGUCCGUCGUGAAGAGGGAAACAACCCAGACCGCCAGCUAAGGUCCCAAAGUCAUGGUUAAGUGGGAAACGAUGUGGGAAGGCCCAGACAGCCAGGAUGUUGGCUUAGAAGCAGCCAUCAUUUAAAGAAAGCGUAAUAGCUCACUGGUCGAGUCGGCCUGCGCGGAAGAUGUAACGGGGCUAAACCAUGCACCGAAGCUGCGGCAGCGACACUGUGUGUUGUUGGGUAGGGGAGCGUUCUGUAAGCCUGUGAAGGUGUACUGUGAGGUAUGCUGGAGGUAUCAGAAGUGCGAAUGCUGACAUAAGUAACGAUAAAGCGGGUGAAAAGCCCGCUCGCCGGAAGACCAAGGGUUCCUGUCCAACGUUAAUCGGGGCAGGGUGAGUCGACCCCUAAGGCGAGGCCGAAAGGCGUAGUCGAUGGGAAACAGGUUAAUAUUCCUGUACUUGGUGUUACUGCGAAGGGGGGACGGAGAAGGCUAUGUUGGCCGGGCGACGGUUGUCCCGGUUUAAGCGUGUAGGCUGGUUUUCCAGGCAAAUCCGGAAAAUCAAGGCUGAGGCGUGAUGACGAGGCACUACGGUGCUGAAGCAACAAAUGCCCUGCUUCCAGGAAAAGCCUCUAAGCAUCAGGUAACAUCAAAUCGUACCCCAAACCGACACAGGUGGUCAGGUAGAGAAUACCAAGGCGCUUGAGAGAACUCGGGUGAAGGAACUAGGCAAAAUGGUGCCGUAACUUCGGGAGAAGGCACGCUGAUAUGUAGGUGAAGUCCCUCGCGGAUGGAGCUGAAAUCAGUCGAAGAUACCAGCUGGCUGCAACUGUUUAUUAAAAACACAGCACUGUGCAAACACGAAAGUGGACGUAUACGGUGUGACGCCUGCCCGGUGCCGGAAGGUUAAUUGAUGGGGUCAGCGCAAGCGAAGCUCUUGAUCGAAGCCCCGGUAAACGGCGGCCGUAACUAUAACGGUCCUAAGGUAGCGAAAUUCCUUGUCGGGUAAGUUCCGACCUGCACGAAUGGCGUAAUGAUGGCCAGGCUGUCUCCACCCGAGACUCAGUGAAAUUGAACUCGCUGUGAAGAUGCAGUGUACCCGCGGCAAGACGGAAAGACCCCGUGAACCUUUACUAUAGCUUGACACUGAACAUUGAGCCUUGAUGUGUAGGAUAGGUGGGAGGCUUUGAAGUGUGGACGCCAGUCUGCAUGGAGCCGACCUUGAAAUACCACCCUUUAAUGUUUGAUGUUCUAACGUGGACCCGUGAUCCGGGUUGCGGACAGUGUCUGGUGGGUAGUUUGACUGGGGCGGUCUCCUCCUAAAGAGUAACGGAGGAGCACGAAGGUUGGCUAAUCCUGGUCGGACAUCAGGAGGUUAGUGCAAUGGCAUAAGCCAGCUUGACUGCGAGCGUGACGGCGCGAGCAGGUGCGAAAGCAGGUCAUAGUGAUCCGGUGGUUCUGAAUGGAAGGGCCAUCGCUCAACGGAUAAAAGGUACUCCGGGGAUAACAGGCUGAUACCGCCCAAGAGUUCAUAUCGACGGCGGUGUUUGGCACCUCGAUGUCGGCUCAUCACAUCCUGGGGCUGAAGUAGGUCCCAAGGGUAUGGCUGUUCGCCAUUUAAAGUGGUACGCGAGCUGGGUUUAGAACGUCGUGAGACAGUUCGGUCCCUAUCUGCCGUG